Molecule: long non-coding RNA, 618 nt
Filed under: Homo sapiens (human)
Lineage: Eukaryota; Metazoa; Chordata; Mammalia; Primates; Hominidae
Description: non-protein coding lnc-ZNF682-3:4
Source: RNAcentral
UCUAGCUGCAGCCGGCGUUUCAGGUCUCGUCUUCACUGGUCUGUGUCCUAUUCUCCUGGAGGCCCAGCCUCUGUGGCCCUGUGACCUGCAGGUAUUGGGAGAUCCACAGCUAAAACCCCAGGACACCCUGGAAGCAUAGAAAUGUUCUUCAGACAAUCAGUAAAAACAAACUUCUCCAAGCUAAAGGAGGAUGUUCGAAUCCAUCAUAAAGAAGCUGGAAACCUUGAAAAAAGAUUAGAUGAAUGGCUAACUAUAAUAGACAGUGUAGAGAAGACCUUAAAUGACCUGAUAGAGCUGAAAACCAUGGCCCAAAAACUACGUGAUGAAUGCAGAAGCUUGAGUAUCCAAUGUGAUCAACAGGAAGAAAAAGUAUCAGUGAUUGUUAAAAUGAAUGAAAUGAAGCAAGAAGAGAAGUUUAGAGAUAAAAUAAUAAAAAGAAAUGAACAAAGCCUCCAAGAAAUAUGGGACUAUGUGAAAAGACCAAAUCUACGUCUGAUUGGUGUACCUGAAAGUGAUGGGGAGAAUAGAACCAAGUUGGAAAACACUCUGCAGGAUAUUAUCCAGGAGAACUUCCCCAACCUAGCAAGGCAGGCCGACAUUCAAAUUCAGGAAAUACAG